UAACAAACCUCCUGCAGUACAUGG
RNAcentral lists this non-coding RNA (24 nucleotides) under Arabidopsis thaliana (thale cress). Lineage: Eukaryota; Viridiplantae; Streptophyta; Magnoliopsida; Brassicales; Brassicaceae. The record is from RNAcentral.